UUUUUCUUGAUUAUCCCCUUAACGCAGUUACGGCGUUCUAUGCCGCCCAGCAUUAAAUGGGCUUUAAAGCCAUUGCGGCGGCAUAGAACGCUGUAAUGGCUGAAGCCCCUGGAGCGGCCGGUAUACUAGCCUUCCCGGCUAGUGUUUGUGACUAAGUGGCUACUAAAAAAGACUAAACAUUCCCCACUUUCAAUACCUUGAGUUAUCUACUUUUUCAAAUGGUAUGCCAUUAUGGGGGUAAUUCUCAUUCUUGGGCUACCACACCGUCUCAAAGGUAACAUUAAUAAUGUGGCAAAUUUCAAUUUGAAAAUGGAAUGUUCUAUAUUUGACCCUGUAACUUUCCAAAACACCAUAAAACCUGUUAAUGGGGGGUACUGUUGUACUUGUGAGACAUCGUUGAUUACAAAUAUAUGCAUUUUUUUGCAGUAAAACCUAACAGUAU
This is a non-coding RNA of Pelobates cultripes (western spadefoot toad), 442 nucleotides long. Lineage: Eukaryota; Metazoa; Chordata; Amphibia; Anura; Pelobatidae. The record is from the annotation of a GenBank genome assembly.